AUGAGAUAAACUGGAUAUGAUAACG
RNAcentral lists this non-coding RNA (25 nucleotides) under Cricetulus griseus (Chinese hamster). Lineage: Eukaryota; Metazoa; Chordata; Mammalia; Rodentia; Cricetidae. The record is from RNAcentral.